AAUACGGAGGAAAAGAAACCAACAGGGAUUACCUCAGUAACGGCGAGUGAAGCGGUAACAGCUCAAAUUUGAAAGCUGCCAACAGGCCGCGUUGUAAUUUGUAGAAGAUGCUUUGGGUGUUGACCUAGUCUAAGUCCCUUGGAACAGGGCGUCAUAGAGGGUGAGAAUCCCGUAUGUGAUUAGUGUCAUCCCCCGUGUAAAGCUCUUUCGACGAGUCGAGUUGUUUGGGAAUGCAGCUCAAAAUGGGUGGUAAAUUUCAUCUAAAGCUAAAUAUUGGCCAGAGACCGAUAGCGCACAAGUAGAGUGAUCGAAAGAUGAAAAGCACUUUGGAAAGAGAGUUAAACAGUACGUGAAAUUGUUGAAAGGGAAGCGCUUGCAAUCAGACUUGCGGGCGGUUGAUCAUCCGAGGUUCUCCCCGGUGCACUCGAUCGUCCUCAGGCCAGCAUCGGUUUCAGUGGUAGGAUAAAGGCUGUGAGAAUGUGGCUCUUCGGAGUGUUAUAGCUCACGGUGCAAUGCUGCCUACUGGGACCGAGGACCGCGCUCGGCUAGAUGCUGCGUACCCAC
Molecule: ribosomal RNA, 564 nt
Filed under: Dermateaceae sp. I12F-02297
Lineage: Eukaryota; Fungi; Ascomycota; Leotiomycetes; Helotiales; Dermateaceae
Description: eukaryotic LSU rRNA
Rfam family: Eukaryotic large subunit ribosomal RNA
Source: RNAcentral